This 400-nucleotide ribosomal RNA is filed under the name uncultured bacterium. RNAcentral's name for it is "bacterial SSU rRNA". It matches the Rfam family "Bacterial small subunit ribosomal RNA", at positions 355 to 772 of the family's 1533-position model. The record is from RNAcentral.
UGGGGAAUAUUUGACAAUGGGCGAAAGCCUGAUCGAGCAAUGCCGCGUGAGUGAUGAAGGCCUUAGGGUUGUAAAGCUCUUUUAGUAGGGAAGAUUAUGACGGUACCUACAGAAAAAGUCCCGGCUAACUUCGUGCCAGCAGCCGCGGUAAUACGAAGGGGGCUAGCGUUACUCGGAAUUACUGGGCGUAAAGCGUGCGUAGGCUGUUUUGUAAGUUGGUAGUUAAAUUCUCGGGCUCAACUCGAGGCCUGCUACCAAUACUGCAGGACUAGAGUACUGGAGAAGAUAGUGGAAUUCCUAGUGUAGAGGUGAAAUUCAUAGAUAUUAGGAGGAACACCAGAGGCGAAAGCGACUAUCUGGCCAGAAACUGACGCUGUUGCACGAAAGCGUGGGGAGCAAA